Molecule: ribosomal RNA, 377 nt
Filed under: uncultured bacterium
Lineage: Bacteria
Description: bacterial SSU rRNA
Rfam family: Bacterial small subunit ribosomal RNA
Source: RNAcentral
UAAUACAGAGGGGGCGAGCGUUGUUCGGAAUCACUGGGUGUAAAGGGUGCGUAGGCGGUCAGUUAAGUCUGAUGUGAAAGCCCUCGGCUCAACUGGGGAAUUGCAUUGGAAACUAGCUGGCUGGAGUACUGGAGAGGGAAGCGGAAUUCCUGGUGUAGCGGUGAAAUGCGUAGAUACCAGGAGGAACACCGGUGGCGAAGGCGGCUUCCUGGCCAAGUACUGACGCUGAGGCACGAAAGCGUGGGGAGCGAACGGGAUUAGAUACCCCGGUAGUCCACGCCUUAAACGAUGGGUACUAGAUGUUGGAGGUAUCGACCCCUCCAGUGUCGUAGCUAACGCGUUAAGUACCCCACCUGGGGAGUACGUUCGCAAGAAUG